This 496-nucleotide ribosomal RNA is filed under the name uncultured bacterium. Its description in RNAcentral is "partial 16S ribosomal RNA". It matches the Rfam family "Bacterial small subunit ribosomal RNA", at positions 29 to 507 of the family's 1533-position model. The record is from RNAcentral.
AUGCACGCUGGCGGCGUGCCUCAUACAUGCAAGUCGAGCGAACAGACGAGGAGCUUGCUCCUCUGACGUUAGCGGCGGACGGGUGAGUAACACGUGGAUAACCUACCUAUAAGACUGGGAUAACUUCGGGAAACCGGAGCUAAUACCGGAUAAUAUAUUGAACCGCAUGGUUCAAUAGUGAAAGACGGUUUUGCUGUCACUUAUAGAUGGAUCCGCGCCGCAUUAGCUAGUUGGUAAGGUAACGGCUUACCAAGGCGACGAUGCGUAGCCGACCUGAGGGGGUGAUCGGCCACACUGGAACUGAGACACGGUCCAGACUCCUACGGGAGGCAGCAGUAGGGAAUCUUCCGCAAUGGGCGAAAGCCUGACGGAGCAACGCCGCGUGAGUGAUGAAGGUCUUCGGAUCGUAAAACUCUGUUAUUAGGGAAGAACAAAUGUGUAAGUAACUAUGCACGUCUUGACGGUACCUAAUCAGAAAGCCACGGCUAACUACGUG